Molecule: long non-coding RNA, 1831 nt
Organism: Mangifera indica (mango)
Lineage: Eukaryota; Viridiplantae; Streptophyta; Magnoliopsida; Sapindales; Anacardiaceae
Exons: 5
Source: RefSeq, a predicted model, not a curated record
AAAAUAUUUAAUAGAAAAUAAAAUUUAAUACUCAAAUUUCUCCAGAACUUGUCAAAAUCCCUAACCGACAAAACUUGUCAAAUGUUGGCUUCCUCUGUUGAUGUUUCCGGCGUCGAAAGUCGUCUCCUCUCCGGCAAUUGAUUCACAAUGUUUCUUGAAAAUUAAUUUGCAAUUCUCUCUCGAUGACUCUCCCCCUCUCUUUUUGCUAAAUAUUUCAGAUUUUAACUCAUUUUUUAAUCUUAAACUUUCAGUCUGCGAAAAAUAUUUAUUGAGUACAUCGUGCUGGAUAAGGUGAAUGAUAAAGAGCCACAUGCUUACCAGCUUGGCACACUGCUAGAGACAUCUCAAGUGGUAACAAUUGAUGUUGCAAGUCCAGAAGCAGCUUGUAGCCAAAGUAGAAAUUGUGGAACCAGGUUUCAAAAUUGCUAUCAUUUCAAAGUCUGGUGAAGGUGUAGCUCAUGUAUCUCCCUUGGAGAAAAUAUGCUUCUAAGCCAUCUCUUGCUGAAUUGAUAGAAGAGGAGAAGCCAAAACCUAAAGUUGAAACAGCACCUGUCUUGGAUAAGCAGCCUAAUGCACCUUCUCUGCAACUGAGCCCCAGCUUCCACCUGAGGACAGGGAAGGACGGCUGAGUUUCGUCAUGGUUCUCUACUUAGACCAAAAAAUGUUCCUAUGACAAGGCGACGGAAAAGGGUUGCUACAACAUUGAAGGACUCUCAGAAUACAUUUGCAAUGUUGACAACAUUCAAUGAAGUUGAUAUCUGGUGUACAUGUGUUCUUGCCAACAAAUGUAGAAGGCUCUCUUAAUUUUUAUAUUCAUGCAAACAUGUUACCCUUGUUUUUCAAGUCCACCACCACCCACCUUGUAAUUAGAUAUGUCACUUACCUUGUGCUUCUACUGCUUUGUAAAUUCAUCUAUGUCUUGCAAUUUCUGGAUGAUUUAUUUUAUUAUGCUUUUAAUCUUUUUUCCAAAUUAAAACAAGGAGCAGAGCUCCAUAUGUCCAUGUAGUCCCUGUUUUUUAAGCUCCGCUGUCUUGCACAGGGCAUGACAUCUUGUUAGGAGUGUUUCUGUGUUAGGACCUAUGUAUAUACUCUUUAAAUGAAAGAAAGAGACAACAAAGGCACAAGCACAAGACAGGACAAGUGUCACUCAAACAAAAAUUAAGGUUGGACCACAAACACAGAAGACUGGAACGUGGCAAGAGCAGAGCAAGGGAGAUGCUUAUGGAGAGAAAAUAAAAGCUGGAAAUGAAUCAGGAGGAAGGAAGGGAAGAAACUCGAGGAAAAGGGAGUGAAGGGAGAGUUUUCAGACUCUCGAAUGAUGGAUAGUUUAUGUUAUCGUUUCUUUUUUUUAGCUUAGUUUUAUGCCGAAUACAGUAGCAGAGAACUGUCUUUGUAUUACUGUAACCUUAUCAAUACGAUUAGUAUUUUUCAUACUAAUUGUAUUUAUUUACUACACAUUUUCAGCAGUCACAAAUACCAGAAAUCUUUGUCCAGCGACAUUCCAACUGCAACAAACCAUUAUCCAGCAGAAGCAGUAGCAGAACACUCCAGCAGCCAUAUACAUUUCCCUCAUAUUACAUUUUUUAGUAUUCACCCAUUAAGCAAGACUCAUGGCAACAGAGCGGAGUGAUUCCAGAACUCCAGUGAAGUCUAGCAGGUACCUAACAUUCUGCAACAUUAAUUGCAAUGGUUUGUAAUUCAGGCUGAAAGUUUCUAUCUUUUUUUUGGUUAAAAAAACAAAAACAGAAACUUUCAGCUGAAAUAGUUCAAUAGCACAUUUUUGCUGAGCCCCUCAAUAAAAAUAUCAUAUAUAAUUAAAUUUGGUGGAACA